RNAcentral lists this ribosomal RNA (482 nucleotides) under uncultured bacterium. RNAcentral's name for it is "partial 16S ribosomal RNA". It matches the Rfam family "Bacterial small subunit ribosomal RNA", at positions 30 to 507 of the family's 1533-position model. The record is from RNAcentral.
AUUGAACGCUGGCGGCAUGCUUUACACAUGCAAGUCGAACGGUAACAGGCCGCAAGGUGCUGACGAGUGGCGAACGGGUGAGUAAUGCAUCGGAACGUGCCCAGUCGUGGGGGAUAACUACUCGAAAGAGUAGCUAAUACCGCAUACGAUCUAUGGAUGAAAGCGGGGGACCGUAAGGCCUCGCGCGAUUGGUGCGGCCGAUGUCAGAUUAGGUAGUUGGUGGGGUAAAGGCUCACCAAGCCAACGAUCUGUAGCUGGUCUGAGAGGACGACCAGCCACACUGGGACUGAGACACGGCCCAGACUCCUACGGGAGGCAGCAGUGGGGAAUUUUGGACAAAGGGCGCAAGCCUGAUCCAGCAAUGCCGCGUGCAGGAAGAAGGCCUUCGGGUUGUAAACUGCUUUUGUACGGAACGAAACGGCUCUGGUUAAUACCCGGGGCUAAUGACGGUACCGUAAGAAUAAGCACCGGCUAACUACGUG